This is a long non-coding RNA of Serinus canaria (Common canary), 579 nucleotides long. RefSeq lists it as uncharacterized. The transcript is spliced from 3 exons. Lineage: Eukaryota; Metazoa; Chordata; Aves; Passeriformes; Fringillidae. The record is from RefSeq and is a predicted model, not a curated record.
UUUCCUUGCAAUGAAGAAUGUCCUAGAUCUUUCUGUGGCUGCAAAUGGCCAGGUGCUUCAGCCAGACCCUCUGAGUGAUUCACUGGUCAGGGAGGGAUUGCAGCACUCCGGUCAGAAGUCCUGUGGUAUCUUACAGACUCCUUCCAGCUUUUUCUGAUGCCAAAGGAGUGGACCUGCAUGCCUGUACCUUAAGCUGGCCUGUGUGGAUCUUCCAUGGAGAGCUGAAUGUGGAUCCUUGUGGGAUUCUACCAAUCUACAGUGACAUCUGCAGUCUGACAAAUGAAACAUAGUUGGAUUCUGGGCAGAAGAGGAGAUACCAAGAAGAGGAAAGCAUGUGUGAGGCUGAUUAGGCAUCAGUUUCAGUCCUAAUCAUCACCUGGCACAGAGAAGAGGAAUUAUUUGUGGAAUGCAUCAUCAGCCAAGUCUCAACACACACACUGGAAAGAAUUGGCGUAGGCUCACCUGGUUUUGCAUGCAGAGGAGUCUUGAAGUGGAGGAGUUUGGACUGGUUUUUCUUUUUAAUUCUUUUCAUUAAUGCUACAAAACAACAGAUGCAAAUUUCCCAUUGCCUGCUUGCUU